RNAcentral lists this transfer RNA (73 nucleotides) under bacterium. RNAcentral describes it as "tRNA-Lys". It matches the Rfam family "tRNA". Rfam says of the family: Transfer RNA (tRNA) molecules are approximately 80 nucleotides in length. Their secondary structure includes four short double-helical elements and three loops (D, anti-codon, and T loops). Further hydrogen bonds mediate the characteristic L-shaped molecular structure. tRNAs have two regions of fundamental functional importance: the anti-codon, which is responsible for specific mRNA codon recognition, and the 3' end, to which the tRNAs corresponding amino acid is attached (by aminoacyl-tRNA synthetases). tRNAs cope with the degeneracy of the genetic code in two manners: having more than one tRNA (with a specific anti-codon) for a particular amino acid; and 'wobble' base-pairing, i.e. permitting non-standard base-pairing at the 3rd anti-codon position. The record is from RNAcentral.
GCGCCCAUAGCUCAAUUGGUAGAGCAACGCCCUUUUAAGGCGGAGGUUCCUGGAUCAUCCCCAGGUGGGCGCA